UACGAAGGGUGCAAACGUUGCUCGGAAUUACUGGGCGUAAAGGGCGCGUAGGCGGACAGUUUAGUCAGAGGUGAAAGCCCAGGGCUCAACCUUGGAAUUGCCUUUGAUACUGGCUGUCUUGAGUUCGGGAGAGGUGAGUGGAAUGCCGAGUGUAGAGGUGAAAUUCGUAGAUAUUCGGCGGAACACCAGUGGCGAAGGCGACUCACUGGCCCGAUACUGACGCUGAGGCGCGAAAGCGUGGGGAGCAAACAGG
Molecule: ribosomal RNA, 253 nt
Filed under: uncultured bacterium
Lineage: Bacteria
Description: partial 16S ribosomal RNA
Rfam family: Bacterial small subunit ribosomal RNA
Source: RNAcentral